AUGGCGCCGUCGCCGUUGCCGUCACGGAUCACCAAGGCUGCUGCUGGUUGUUUGUCUCUGCGGAUUCUUGGCUUCUCCGGCGUGGAAAGAUUCGGUUCUCUAUUGGUUGUUGCUCCUUGGGGCUUGUCUUUAACCAGGAAGCUGGGAUGCCUGCUCUUUCAUGUCGGCUUCUCAUUUGACAAAGCAUAUGUCCGUGGUUUAGAUCCAUGCUUGUGCAACCUACAGAAUUUGUUGUGCUGGCUCUUGCUUGUGCUUUACUGUUUGUCCUUCAGGAGACCAGCACAAUGUCGUUUCCUUUUUGUAGUUACUCAUUCAUACAUGCAGGUUCUUGGGGCAUCCAAUAGAAUGAAACUUUUAUUUCGAUGCCCAGUGCGUCCUUUGUUUGCUUCCUAUUAA
This 396-nucleotide ribosomal RNA is filed under the name Triticum aestivum (bread wheat). RNAcentral's name for it is "partial small subunit ribosomal RNA". The record is from RNAcentral. Lineage: Eukaryota; Viridiplantae; Streptophyta; Magnoliopsida; Poales; Poaceae.